UUUUUUUUUUGUUAAUAACACUUUAUUGACUAAAUUGUCCAGGUUUGUGGAUGAGGAACCAUGUGGAGUGCUGGCUUCUUCUGCAAGUUUCUUCCACUGCAUGACCUUCAUUUUCAUUUUUUUUUACCCUUUUCUCCCUCCAUUAACUCUCUAACAAGCUUCUCUACUUUUGCUCUUUUAACAUCAUUACUAAUCUCCAUCCCAAUGCCCCAUUCAAAUCAAGCACACCAAGGCCUCGUUUGGCAGCUCGGACUGUACUGACUAUUUCAGUCGGAUAUAGGAAAUAAAUAAUCGUCGGAUAGGACUGACUAAAUUAAUCGGGCGUUUGGUGUUGCAUCGGAUUAAUUUAUACAUCGGAUAAUAGGUCGGACUAUAAUAAAUUUUUUAAAUAAUUUCACAGGAUAAGUGUUGUUAAAAUGAAAAAAAAAAAAAGGAAGAAAAACAAGUGAGAAAAAAAAAAUUAAACAUCAUUACACAGACAAAAAUUAACAAAUAAAAAUAAAAAAGGAAGAGAAAAAAACCCAGAUCUCUUCCCAGUUCCCAGUCGUGUCUUCCUAUCUACACCAUCUUCCCCACACAUCAAUUCCCACCCUCCCAUAUGAACCCACUUCCUCAUUUCUUCAAAUCUCCCAAAACCCACAUCGAUUCACCAACCAAAAAAAAAAAAAAAAAAUUCCCAGAAAUUAAAUAUUUUCAAUGCUAAUAAACCAAAAUUUAUCAUCGGAGCCUAGCUCCCUUCCUUGUCGGAGCCCAGCUCCCUUCCUCCUCCUCGUCCUUCUCGUUGGAGCCUAGAUCGGAAAAUUUGAAUCAUCAUCUUCCUCCUUCAAUCCACGGAAGUAUUGUUGUUCUGUCAGAGAUCGAAGGCGAACGGAUGAGGUGGGAGGUGUGUGUGUGUGUGAAGGAGGAGGGAGGAGGGAGGAGGUAGGAACAGAAAGAAAAAAAGAAGAUGACAAAGAUGAACUUGAGAUCCAGACGAGAGAGAGCAGGCGGGUGAGAUAGUUGAAGGAGAGUCAUGCGAGAGAGGAACGAAGUGAACAAGAGAAAUCUCACCUGACUAAAUAAUACAGAGGUUUUGGACGGGAUUCAUAAGCGGGUGGGAGGGGUAUAAAAUAAGUGGGGCCGGAUUAAAUAAUCCGGUGCUUAUUUAAUACGAAGCUCACCAAACAUUCGUUUCGUAUUAUUAAUACUAUCCGAUGGUCUUAUACGGUGUGCCAAACGAGGCC
Molecule: long non-coding RNA, 1223 nt
Filed under: Malus domestica (apple)
Lineage: Eukaryota; Viridiplantae; Streptophyta; Magnoliopsida; Rosales; Rosaceae
Description: long non-coding RNA (MDOM_LNC008028)
Source: RNAcentral